GGGGGCGUAAUGGCUUCGACGGGGGUUUGAACAUCAAAGCGGCGAGCCGUGUAAUUUCUCUAUCACGUAAAUCUGUGAGAAAUUAAAUUUAAACGCAAAUAGAAAUCAAUUAGUAGCUGCCUAAUUGCGGCUUCUGUUCCUCUAAGCCCUCCUGCCGGUUUAGAUUGAACAUAAUCAUGCAGGCAACUGUAAAUCGGAUAAUCGGACGCUUUACAGUACAAUUCGGUUUAGUUUGAUAUAAGCCCGUUAUCGAGGCGUAUAUUCAAAUGAAAAAUCAAUAUCGGUAACUACGCUCGUAGAAGCAUUGAUUGGAAAAAUUUCGGACGCGGGUUCAACUCCCGCCGCCUCCACCA
RNAcentral lists this transfer-messenger RNA (353 nucleotides) under uncultured Filifactor sp. It matches the Rfam family "transfer-messenger RNA". From Rfam's summary of the family: Bacterial tmRNA, also known as 10Sa RNA or SsrA, is named for its dual tRNA and mRNA-like properties. Its role is to liberate the mRNA from a stalled ribosome. The record is from RNAcentral. Lineage: Bacteria; Bacillati; Bacillota; Clostridia; Peptostreptococcales; Filifactoraceae.